Molecule: long non-coding RNA, 2753 nt
Filed under: Capsella rubella
Lineage: Eukaryota; Viridiplantae; Streptophyta; Magnoliopsida; Brassicales; Brassicaceae
Description: long non-coding RNA (CRUB_LNC003755)
Source: RNAcentral
UCUGUUUUUAAAUAUACUAAACUAAUAACUUUGUUACAAACUUGUAAUUGUAAUAGCAGGAGUGGAAGGUUGGGAUUUUUCAAAUAGAUGUGUUAGGGUUGUAAGCUAUACCGGUUGUACCGCAAACAAUUGUAAGGAUUUGUGUGGCAAGAGUAAACCGGGAUCUAGACCGGGUUGCAUCACUUCACCUGGUGGACCGUAUAAAGGACAUCAGCAAUGCGGCUGUACAUGGGAUUGCUAAGGCACAUCAUGAACUUUAUAUACUAAUAAUAACAAUAAAUCUCAAUCCUAUAUUAAUAUUGAGAACCUUAUAUUAUAAAGCAUAUAAUUUUUUUAUGCCUAGCUCAAUCAUAUGUAUACUAUUUUGUUGUUGUUGAGUUACAUACUCUAAUAAAGAUUUAAUUAUAGUAAUAUGAGUGUGAGAGUUGUAGAUAACCUUCAAAAGUAAGAUUUAACUAUAGUAAUAUGUUUUGGGUUCAUAAUUUAUAUAGUUGAUUUUUCUUUUCAUUUUAUUUGUUCUUUGUAUGCUAUAACAAAGUUCAGCUUAAAAGAUUAUUAGCUCUCGUGCAAGUUUUUAACUUAGGAAAAUAUAAUUUUAUAUAAUCAGUAAAUUAGUUAAGGUUUUUACAAUAACUUUAGGUUCUAGAAUAAUAAUUGAAUCGCUCCUAUGUGUACAUAAUCGAUCUCCUCAUAAACGAAGUGUAUCGCAUCAGAAAAGUGUGAUACUUAAAGCUUAAUAAAACAGCCUAAUAUCUCGGGGUGAUGAAUCUUAUAAGUCACUAAAAUUUUGACUAGCUAGUGCCUAGCACAGUAAGAUAAACUUCGUAGGGUUAAUAUAUAUGAUACAUUUCACUUAAAAUUGCAUAAUAUAAUUUGGUCAAUGUAAUAUUAGUAACGUCUUUGCUCGUGUUUUGGGUAGGUGUCGAUCGACACCGUGAAAAUGAAAAAGAUUUCGGUCGAUACCAUUAUUUUUAUGGCUACACCGGUUUAAUCAUGUAAUCAUUCGAUUUAGUGCAAUAAACAAAACCAAACCCCUCUUCAUUUCCAAUUGCCCAGCUCCUUCGACUUAUUGCUUUUACUUGCUGACUUCAUUGCUUUCAUCAUUAGAAAACCACAAACCAAACUCCUCUUCAUUUCCCUCUUAGUUAGAUUUAUAUUAUGAAUUCUUUUGUGUAGCUAUUUAUUCUCAGUGAAAUCGAUCCUUAACAUUAUAAAAUGUUAUUGUGCACUUGCAAGUAUUUGUGUGGAGUCUAAUGUAAAACCCUAAGAUGCAAAUACACACACAUCAGCCUUCAGCAUUGGAAAUGAAAGAGAUAAUCCUCAGUUGAUUUGUAUAUUCAAAUCGCAUGGAGGUAUUAAUGUAUUGUAUCUUGUGGUUGAUUUUAAACAUGAUCAAACCCAAAAAAAAACUGAUUAUCUUUUUAUAUUUUACUAAUUUUUGAUGAUUAGUUCCUAUUAAAUUUCUUGGUUCCUAUGACAAAAAAAAAAAUAAAGCUCCAAAAAAACCCACAAAUUUAAAAGAAAAUAAAUAAGUUUUGAAAAAACUUUUACCUAUCUUACAGUAAAAACCAUGAAUUUGGGUCAAAUUGGAUCCUAUAAUAUGGGAUAUAGGAUGAUACAUAUUAAUUUCUUAAAUUAGAUAUGUAUGAGAUACACCUAAUUAACUAUAUAUACUACACCUUCCUUCGUCGUUUUUAAUAUGAAAAUUUGAAACACUAUUGUACAAUAUUUAAAGUUUUCUAUAACCAAAAAAAAAGAAGAAAAAACACUAUCGAUCUAUAUAGAUCAAACAUGAUGAGAAAAUCCAAUCAAAUUUCCUUCUUUGUUCUUAUUAUCUUCACAAUUCUUCUACUAGGUAUAUAUGCUUACAUUUUUCUGAAACUGUAUUUACAUUUUACAUAUAAAUUUCUAAGAAUAAACGAGGGUUUGAUAUCAUAUUAAACAUUUUAAAAUAAUUUAAUUUCUCCUAAUUGAUUAAAUACUUUUUUCAUGCAAACUUUUAAAUUUCUUCACAUAUAUUGGUUAAUUUCCCUACUUUAUAAAUUUAUAUAGUCUCAACAUUUUUAAAAUAAUUGUGAUGUCAAGUGAUGAUGGAAACAUAUUUCAACUGUUUCCUUUUUUCAUCAAUUUUUUUCUUCCUUUCAAUAAGUAAGUGUUUCAAAUUAAAAAUAUUUUGUUUCAUAAAUAUUGGUGUUAGAACAGUUUCUAAGGAAAAUUAUAUGAUACAUUCAUAUAAUUUUCAGUUACUAGAUAUCAAUAAUUAUAAACAUAUGUUCCAUUACAGUAAAAAGUCAAAGUAAUUAUAUUUUCAUUUUUUAAAUAUAUGAACUAAUAAUUAAGAAUACUUUUUGUAAUUGUAACAGGAGUGAAAGGUUUUGAUUUUAGAAAUAAGUGUGGUGCUGUUUUAAGCUAUACUGGUUGUACUGCAAAAAAUUGUAAGGAGAUGUGUGCGAAGAGAAAUCUAAAAGGACAACCCCACUGCGUCACUUCACCUGGCGGACCGUAUAAAGGACAUCAACAAUGUGCAUGCACCUGGAAAUGCUAAUUAGUAUUAGGGCUAAUAACAACAAGUUAACAAGAAUAAUACUAGUAUUAAGAACUUUAUAAUGAAAUAAUGCAAUAUUUGAUGUGGAUUUUGUAGUCCUAACAUAUACAGUAUGUGUCAUUGUUGAUGUUUGGGGUUAGAAUGUGGUGUAAUAAUCGUUUAAUUAUGACAAUAUACUUUAAAUUAUCUUUAGUCUUCAAGAUGAACA